UUUGUCACAUCCAACCUGCCCGCCCCAGCCAGAAACAAGUUCUUCUCGAAGGUGCUCAACAAAGGUGAUGUGUUUGUCUUCCCCGUGGGGCUCAUCCACUUCCAAUUCAACCCCAACCCCCAUCAGCCCGCCGUUGCAAUUGCCGCGCUCAGCAGCCAGAACCCAGGGGCUAUCACAAUUGCCAAUGCAGUGUUUGGGUCAGACCCACCAAUAUCCGAUGAUGUUCUUGCCAAGGCGUUUCAGGUGGAAAAGAAUACAAUAGACUGGCUCCAGGCUCAGUUCUGGGAGAACAACCACAACUAA
Molecule: ribosomal RNA, 303 nt
Filed under: Triticum aestivum (bread wheat)
Lineage: Eukaryota; Viridiplantae; Streptophyta; Magnoliopsida; Poales; Poaceae
Description: partial small subunit ribosomal RNA
Source: RNAcentral